GGCAUCUAUUUCUUUGUAUCUGCAUAUCUCUUCUUAUAGAGAUUCAGACAAAAUCUGCCAUAUGAUGAAGUUUCUUUCCAAUUUUUUUACAUGCUGUUCCUCAUGCAGUUUGAAUGUAUGUCUUUAUUAAUUAACAAGAGCUUAUGAAAGGCAGAAAGAAAAUCCAAGAACAAAGGAGAUGAGUAUGAAACUAAGGUACAGAGGCUUGAGAACUGCUAGAAAGAAAGAAAACAGCCAGGAAAGAAGAAAAGCAAGCUCUCAGUAGUGUUAAAGUGGGGGAGAAAGAAAUAAGGUUUGGGGAGGACACCACUUCCAGCAAGCCAAGUUUUCUUGGCUGAAGAGGAGCUGUUCUUCAUCUUCAGCUAAGCCCAGUUUGUAUUUAACAACCUAAUUUUUCUUGCUUAACAACCACAGCUCUCCAUCUCAGCCCUUGGCCCUGUGUUAAAUGCAGUUUGUUGCGUGCUUUCCAGCAUGUUUGCUGCAGCCUGAGGCUCUGCAUUUUGACCACACUCUGAUGAGCCCUUUUGACCUUCCCAGCAUCAUUGCAGACAAUGGCUGUUCUGCACAAAAGAGAGCUGAGAGAUGUAGAUCUGGAGAUAAAAGUUACGUUUCAAUAUUCACCACAAAUACUGACACAAGAAAUGAGGAGAAAUUGGAAAAAUACAAUUCUAACAUGAAAAGAGGAAUAAAGACAUUGAGACAUAUCUUCAUGUUGACAGGACUGUUUUUAUUACUUAUUACAAGACCCAGGAGUGUGCUUAGGACUUCAGAGAACAAAUUGGAAUAGCAGAUCUCCACCCUGAGCAGCGCAUAGCCCAGGAGAAUUAAGAAAACAUUAAUGCACAGGAGGCCAAAUUUUGUUCAAAACAGCCAUGGUUUAAGAAUGAGUAUUUGAAAGUCAUCUUUUCCUUGGCAUUUUGAAUAACAAGUUCAGUGAGAUAAAGCACAAUGAAGAUCUUUUGAAGAAGCAUCUGGAAUUCAUCUGUGUAAAGAAACACCUGGCAAUGCCCAUGGGGACUCAGAGAUGAGAAGGCAGCUGGACCAGAAGGUAAGAAAUCAACACGAGUUUCAGCCUCAACUCUCAGUGGUGUCACACAGCACUGUGGAAAAUAACUGCUCCGCAUCCCAGGACAGCAGCGCAUAGAAAGGUCCAUUUCUUAUUUGCUAGGAAAGUGAGUGACUGGCUCCCUGGAGGGUUGAUUCUUGAAUGUAUAUCUUACAGAUAUAUCCCUUAUAGAUCAUAACCUCUCUGUACCUUCACAGCACUGUUAAUAUGCAUGAAAUUCAGUGUGCUUUAGGGGAGUAGAGUUCUCACUGUGUUGCAAGCUGGUGUGUAUUUAGAGGUGAAACUGGUGCUAGGGAGUUCACAGAUUCUCUUUUGGUUUCAUUUCCAGUGACUGCUUUGUUCCUCCAGUGAACAGCAUACAAGCACUGCCUUUUUCUGAUGGACUGUUGGAGGUGGACUUAAUAAAAUUCUUUCACUGUACAUCAGCUUAUCCCAAAAAGAAAUUAGAAGAUACUCUUUACUUUUAGUAUAAGGAGUGAACAGCACCCACACAAAAGAAAGAUGAAAAGGAUUUAAUAAAGUAUGUUUUACAGUACCCUCUACUCAACAGAAUCACAAAAUCAUGGGAUUGCAGUGACUCUGUCAUCACUGGAUUUCAGCAGAAGUGUGGCACAUCCCAGGAUAGAUUCCACCACUGUGGAAGCACAGCCCUCAGGGUUCCCUAGGGUUACUCUUGAACACGUGUAAAUCAGCCUCCAACUCUUCUUGUUAGUAGACUUGGAGCCCAACUUUCGCCAUUUCGCCCUCACUCAGUGGAAGAAUGAACUCAGCUGAUCUUCAGAAUAGUGCUGUGCUCCAAAUCACAGCCCUGAGCUGAUCCUGCUCUCCAGCUCCUCCUGAUGCUCAUUCCUGGAGCACUCUACAGCCAGCCAGAAGUCCAUUUCCCUGCAUGAUUCACAAAUUCCUUUGAGACCAUGCAGGACUUUGAUACCAUCAUUCAUUUUUUUUUUCUUUUUAGUUUGAUAAAGAAUGAGGAAGUUGCUCCAAUGUCACUUUUGCACCCCUUUUUGUGGUAUUUGUCCAUUCUGCUGGCAGAAAGCAGAUUGAGCAAAUAUGCAUGUCAAGAUAUUACAGGUAGACCUUGACUUCAUAGAAAUGAAUUGAUUGAUAGAAAAAUUGGCAAAACUGGCAGUCAUGGCAUCAGAAUCCUCUCAUGGAGAAAGUGAUAUAAAGGUUAAAUAUCCUGUAAUAAUGAAGUGUAUACUCCUUCAAAACAUCCUUCUAUUUGAUCUCAAAAAUUGGACCUUUGGUGAAAAUACAAGCCAUGAAAUGAAUGAAGGUGAAGAAUAACCAGCAGAAAUACCAAGGGAGAGGCACAAUUUCAGUAUAAAUCACAGAAUUUACCUUGGAAAGGAUGCAAGCACAAUCCCUAGAAGUAGUGCAGAUUUGUGAACUCAACAUUGAAUUCACCUCCCUUUAAACUCUAGGUGAGUUGGGAAUAUGAAUAACACAAUGUCAUGUGAGAUGGGGAAGUAAAUGAAACCUGGAAAGCAGCCAAGUGGGGAAAAAAAAUAAAAGAACAAAGAAAAGGAGAAAGUUUACUGCUCUGUUUGCAAUGGCUGUUGACAAAAAUGCUACCUCGAAUAGUUACACCUUCAAAAGAAGGCUUGAAC
Molecule: long non-coding RNA, 2679 nt
Organism: Gallus gallus (chicken)
Lineage: Eukaryota; Metazoa; Chordata; Aves; Galliformes; Phasianidae
Source: Ensembl